Molecule: ribosomal RNA, 494 nt
Filed under: uncultured bacterium
Lineage: Bacteria
Description: partial 16S ribosomal RNA
Rfam family: Bacterial small subunit ribosomal RNA
Source: RNAcentral
GACGAACGCUGGCGGCGUGCUUAACACAUGCAAGUCGAACGGAAAGGCCUGCUUUCCCUUGUGGAUUGCGGGUACUCGAGUGGCGAACGGGUGAGUAACACGUGAGUGAUCUGCCCCCAACUUGGGUAUAAGCCUGGGAAACUGGGUCUAAUUCCCGAUAGGACUGCAGGGUGGUGCCUGUGGUGGAAAACGAUUUUCUAGUGGUUGGGGAUGAGCUCGCGGCCUAUCAGCUUGUUGGUGGGGUAAUGGCCUACCAAGGCGGCGACGGGUAGCCGGCCUGGGAGGGUGGACGGCCACAUUGGGACUGGGAUACGGCCCAGACUCCUACGGGAGGCAGCAGUGGGGAAUAUUGCACAAUGGGCGGAAGCCUGAUGCAGCGACGCCGCGUGGGGGAUGACGGGCUUCGGGUUGUAAACUCCUUUCGACCGCGAGGAAGCCACCUGGUUGGAAGGGUGGUGACGGUAGUGGUAGAAGAAGCACCGGCUAACUACGUG